This is a long non-coding RNA of Brassica napus (rape), 1769 nucleotides long. RefSeq lists it as uncharacterized. Lineage: Eukaryota; Viridiplantae; Streptophyta; Magnoliopsida; Brassicales; Brassicaceae. The transcript is spliced from 5 exons. The record is from RefSeq and is a predicted model, not a curated record.
GUCAUAAUUAAAUACUAAUAUAUAUCUUUAUAUAUAAAGAAGAGCUUGAAUCAUUCCCAGGGGGUCCAGCUCGGAUGUCACGUCAUCAAUUCAAGCUCCCUGGAGCCGACACGUGUCCCGUUUCUCCGAAAACGCAGAGCUUUAAUUCAGAUGGGUUUUUUUCAUAGGGGCUUUGUGAUAUUGUUACUUGCUGGACUACCUUUUUGAGAAACACUUCCGUUUCCUAUUCUCUUAGCGUCGCCGAAGAUUGCUUUUUUUCUUUUCUUUUUUUUUCCAGCGAAUGCUUAGACCGUUCAUCUAACCGGCGUCGAAAUCUCCAUCUAUAAUACGUGAAGCCAUUGUUUCCGGCGAUACCUGUUAAAACCCGGCGGCGAUGGUGUCUUUCAAUUGAUUUCCAACUCACCAACAAAAAAAUAAAUUCUUGGAAACAUUACGAUAAUCAGAUUCAUACAAUCGUCGCCUCAUCAACAACAUCUCCCACUUCUCACCCGAUCUGUUAUAUAAAUAUGGCGGAAAGCUUUAACCUAUAGCUGUUGCUUUCACCGAUGAGCAGACCAAGAGUUUUACGAAGCUUUCUGUCUCCUCGACAAAGACUCAGAUGGUAUGUCGUUGUUUACUUUGGUCUUACUCAAAAUACAACCUUUUAUACGAACAGACCAUGGAACUGAUGAUAAGAUGGAUUAGCUGAUAUUUAUAUAUGCUGUUCGUGAGAAACCAAAGAAAGUGAUGAAAUCGAUGUGGAAGAAUUGAAAUGCAGAACUUUGGGAGAUGAUGAUCGUCAUCUACGUUUGAUGGCAAUGGAGACAUUUAUAUAAUGGCCCAAAACACCUCUCAGGGAAGCUUGAAGAUCAUCAGCCACCAUCCCUACUUCAAAUGGAUAUACAAAACAUAGACAUAUUUUUAGAUUAGUCUUCGAUAGGUGCAUAAGGAGGUGGUACGGUGAGAGAUCAGCUGGAGAAGAAAGAGCGAGAUCCAGGAUUGUAGAGUCAGAGUGAAAGGAGACGGAGCCUGAGAUUCACGACACACAAGCAGGUCAGUAUAAACAAACCUUUGAACAUAAUCUACUAUAUGACAAACCGUACGAAGAGUCUAUGUAUUUGUUUUUGAUGUAAAACAAUAGCUUGCGAGAUCAAUUUCUCAAGACAACUAAUUUACGACUUAGAGACUUUGGACUGAAAUUUGGAGUGAAGACCAGAUCUCCAAUCAAAAUCAGUGGUUAUAUUAUCCUGGCGUCAAUACUUCCAAAAGUUUGUAUAAAUUUUUGACUCUCGCAUAUGGAUUUAACUUCUUCUUAUGAUCAGAACGAUGCUUGACAAUGAGAUUCAAGGAGAAGAAGCUCCGGAACCUUCUCUUGCUGGAAAGAGAAGAAAAGAAACUGAAAGACCAAGCUCUGCUCUUCCACAAAAACCAAGGUAAUCAAUUGCUCAUAGAGCAAAAGUAUGGGAAUUCUUUAUCCAAAAAGAAGAUGAUCGUGCACAAUGCAAUUGUUGUUUCUGCAAAAUUGCAGGAACUGAAAGUAGCACCUGAAACACGUACGUGUUCUCCACGUGAAAUUACUAAGUGUAUCUUGGUUCCUUUUUGUAUUUAUUUCAGCUUGAGUUACAAUUUGUGUUUGUUUAAGAUUUUUAUUGCAAGUUGUUUUUUCUUCUCUGUUAUUGUUGUAAACUUGUGAUGUCAGCAUCUUUCAUCAAUAAGUUAGUACAACGUGGGUUCGAAACUUAUUUUUGAAAGUGGUGUAAUAUGUUUGAAACUGAAUAUUCGUUUGAAUC